ACGUUUAUGUUCUAAAGGUAAGAUAUUAGCCUUCCAAGCUGAAAAUCCGGGUUCGAUUCCCGGUAGACGUA
RNAcentral lists this transfer RNA (71 nucleotides) under Cryptomonas paramaecium. RNAcentral's name for it is "Cryptomonas paramecium tRNA-Gly". It matches the Rfam family "tRNA". From Rfam's summary of the family: Transfer RNA (tRNA) molecules are approximately 80 nucleotides in length. Their secondary structure includes four short double-helical elements and three loops (D, anti-codon, and T loops). Further hydrogen bonds mediate the characteristic L-shaped molecular structure. tRNAs have two regions of fundamental functional importance: the anti-codon, which is responsible for specific mRNA codon recognition, and the 3' end, to which the tRNAs corresponding amino acid is attached (by aminoacyl-tRNA synthetases). tRNAs cope with the degeneracy of the genetic code in two manners: having more than one tRNA (with a specific anti-codon) for a particular amino acid; and 'wobble' base-pairing, i.e. permitting non-standard base-pairing at the 3rd anti-codon position. Lineage: Eukaryota; Cryptophyceae; Cryptomonadales; Cryptomonadaceae. The record is from RNAcentral.